AUGUCUAGCUCCGGCAUCAACGCCAUACCCGCAGCCAACCACGAGGAGCAGAGCCUGGCGGCGCCCGCCCCGCCCCCUACGGUCGCCGUCGCUGAGGGGAAAGGGAAGGUGCUUGCGCAACAGGCACCUGCGCCGGUGGUUCGCAAGCGCAAGUCCGGCAGAGACCCGCAGAAAAGCCCGCCCCUAGCGGCCACCAGAGAGGAGCUGGAAUCCCGGGAGUCCCGGGAAGGACCCUUGAAGGUCCUUGCGCUCCCGGCGCCAGGGGCCCCGCGUACUCACGCUGUCUUCAGCGACAAGAUGAUGAGACGCGCUCGCGCCCGCACCCUGCAUGCAAAUGCUGUCUCCAACGACAAGAUGGUGAGCCGCGCUCGCGCCCCCACCCUUCAUGCAAACCCUGUCUCCGAUGACAAGAUGAUGGACGGGAAAAAUGAGAUGGCGCCGGUCCAGGGGGUGCCGCCCAUGCGGGGAAGCAUCGCGGCUUCAAGCUCGGUUGGUGGGGUUGUGAGUGAAAAUGCGGGGAGCUUGGCAGCAGGGAAAAUGGCACCUAGAGGGGCUCAUGUCUCCAUGAUGAACAACCACAACUUUGAUUUGAAUGAGCUACCGAUUGAACAUGAGCAGCUCCAGCAGGAGCAGCCGCCCAAAGAGCAGGAUUAG
Molecule: ribosomal RNA, 654 nt
Filed under: Triticum aestivum (bread wheat)
Lineage: Eukaryota; Viridiplantae; Streptophyta; Magnoliopsida; Poales; Poaceae
Description: partial small subunit ribosomal RNA
Source: RNAcentral